RNAcentral lists this long non-coding RNA (1129 nucleotides) under Coturnix japonica (Japanese quail). RNAcentral describes it as "lncRNA (ENSCJPG00005000856.1)". Lineage: Eukaryota; Metazoa; Chordata; Aves; Galliformes; Phasianidae. The record is from RNAcentral.
UACUUUUUCUGCUUGUAGUGAUGCUACCAGAGGAAAAAAAAAAAAAAAGGAACUCUCAAUGAUUUUUUCUGUUUGGUGACAUUCUAUUGCAUAAAAGGAAUUCUAAAAUAACAGUUCCAGGCUGACAGUCAGAUUAAAAAACAAGUAGUUCAAUCAUAAAAAUAAACCAACUAUGUACCAGCAAAAAAAUAGCAAAAUCUAAAUUGGGUUAACUAGUUACUAUAGCCUCAAGCAUCUGCAUCAACUAGUUUGAUAAUUACUUUUCUGCUUGUCAGAAAUGAGAAAUGCUAAAGGCAAACUCAAUUCCAUGUUACACACAAGCACGAGUUCCACAUUUUUACUUGCUCUCAUGCUGACAAUGCACUCCAGAAAAAUUAAUGAUGCCACACACUAAUAGCAAAUGCCUAAUUUGAAAACAUUCUUUAGAAGACAAGUUGGCCUUGAGAGUAUUUUGUUUACUUAAAAAGGGGCAGGAAACAAAACAGUUUUCAGUUACACUUCUAAAUUUUCCUCUGAUGAGCAAUGCUGGGAAACUAGUUUUUCCACUCAGCUCCAAAUUAAACUUUUCCCUUGGUCUCAGAGUACAUACUAGAGCCAUUCUUAUAUUUGCAUUUGUAACUAGCUAAACAAGUUUCAGCAUAUCCCAUUUCUGUUUCUCUCCACAGCACAUGCAGUCCGUGCCCUCCACAAGUCUACCUGAAUUCUCUCUUCUUGUAGAUUUGAAAGCAAUUAUGGUGAACUUUUCAACAGUAUCUGUCUCCAGUGCAAUUCCUUUGAACUUCACGAUUGGAUUUUGCUCCUUUUUCUUUGCAGAAAUGGAACUGAAACACAUCAGUUACCUUAUGGUAGCACCAAUCUCUACUGGUGGAGUCUACAGGCUGCAGGCAAACCUUGAAGAAGGUCUCCUAGAGCAGCAUGAAAGGUGGAUAUGAGAGCCUGAAGUGCCCAAAUUUCAGACAGCCUGUUCCCUGUUAGCACCCUGACCUGAAGGAGCGGACAGCAGUCAAGGUACUGUAUUUUGUUUCAUGAUACCAAGUUACCUUUUGACCCCCUCCUGUUCAUUCUCAAAGAAGCAAAAAGCAGCUUCUCCAUGUGCUCCAGAGGAAAUGAGGCACUUGGUCACAGCUCC